RNAcentral lists this non-coding RNA (26 nucleotides) under Rattus norvegicus (Norway rat). Lineage: Eukaryota; Metazoa; Chordata; Mammalia; Rodentia; Muridae. The record is from RNAcentral.
UGCAACCUACAAGUUUCCCAAAAGUG